AAUUGACGGGGGCCCGCACAAGCGGUGGAGCAUGUGGUUUAAUUCGAUGCAACGCGAAGAACCUUACCUGGCCUUGACAUAGUAAGAACUUUCCAGAGAUGGAUUGGUGCCUUCGGGAACUUACAUACAGGUGCUGCAUGGCUGUCGUCAGCUCGUGUCGUGAGAUGUUGGGUUAAGUCCCGCAACGAGCGCAACCCUUUUCCUUAUUUGCCAGCGAGUAAUGUCGGGAACUUUAAGGAUACUGCCAGUGACAAACUGGAGGAGGGCGGGGACGACGUCAAGUCAUCAUGGCCCUUACGGCCAGGGCUACACACGUGCUACAAUGGUCGGUACAAAGGGUUGCUACCUAGCGAUAGGAUGCUAAUCUCAAAAAGCCGAUCGUAGUCCGGAUUGGAGUCUGCAACUCGACUCCAUGAAGUCGGAAUCGCUAGUAUUCGCGGAUCAGAAUGCCGCGGUGAAUACGUUCCCGGGCCUUGUACACACCGCCCGUCACACCAUGGGAGUUUGUUGCACCAGAAGUAGCUAGCCUAACUGCAAAGAGGGCGGUUACCACGGUGUGGCCGAUGACUGGGGUGAAGUCGUAACAAGGUAGCCGU
Molecule: ribosomal RNA, 596 nt
Filed under: uncultured bacterium
Lineage: Bacteria
Description: bacterial SSU rRNA
Rfam family: Bacterial small subunit ribosomal RNA
Source: RNAcentral